UUAAAUGGCUGCAGUAUAACUGACUGUACAAAGGUAGCAUAAUAAAUUGAUUUUUAAAUGAAAUCUGGAAUGAAAGGAUUAAUGAAAUAUAUACUGUCUCAUAUUUAUUUUAUGAAUUUAAAAUUUUAAUAAAAAUGUUAAAAUUUUUUUAUGGGACGAUAAGACCCUAUAGAAUUUUAUAUAAUUUAAUUUUGUAUUAUAAAAUAUAAAAUUUAAUUUAAUAUUUAAUUGGGAGAAUUAUUAAAUUUAAUAAAUUUUAAUUUAAUAUAAACUUUAAUUUAAGAAAAUAUUUUGAUCUAUAAUUUAUAAUUAUUAGAUUAAAUUACCUUAGGGAUAACAGCGUAAUAUUUUUUUAUAGAUCACAUAGAAAAAAAUGAUUGCGACCUCGAUGUUGAAUUAAGAUAAAUUUUAAAUGUAGUUG
RNAcentral lists this ribosomal RNA (421 nucleotides) under Frieseomelitta sp. MAC-2001. Its description in RNAcentral is "partial 16S large subunit ribosomal RNA". Lineage: Eukaryota; Metazoa; Arthropoda; Insecta; Hymenoptera; Apidae. The record is from RNAcentral.